UGUAAGCGUAUACCAAAGUUGUUGCAGUUAAAACGCUCGUAGUCGGAAUUUGGCAGUUCCGGAUGUGUGCACGUCGUGUGCGCACUUCGCGGGGAUUGCUUUUGUGGUCUUGCGUAGGAUGAGGCACUUUUAUUAGUGAACGUCCUCACGCAACCACUUUUUACUGUGAGAAAAUCAGAGUGCUCAAAGCAGGCAUUUGCCGUGAAUGUAUCAGCAUGGAAUAAUAGAAUAGGACUUGGUUCUAUUUUGUUGGUUUGUUGGGACUGAGUAAUGAUUAAGAGGGACAGUUGGGGGCAUUUGUAUUUCGGCGCUAGAGGUGAAAUUCUUAGAUUGCCGAAAGACAAACUGCUGCGAAAGCGUCUGCCAAGGAUGUUUUCAUUGA
This 382-nucleotide ribosomal RNA is filed under the name uncultured eukaryote. RNAcentral's name for it is "partial 18S ribosomal RNA". It matches the Rfam family "Eukaryotic small subunit ribosomal RNA", at positions 592 to 976 of the family's 1831-position model. The record is from RNAcentral.